RNAcentral lists this transfer RNA (76 nucleotides) under Escherichia coli. RNAcentral's name for it is "tRNA-Val". It matches the Rfam family "tRNA". Rfam says of the family: Transfer RNA (tRNA) molecules are approximately 80 nucleotides in length. Their secondary structure includes four short double-helical elements and three loops (D, anti-codon, and T loops). The record is from RNAcentral. Lineage: Bacteria; Pseudomonadati; Pseudomonadota; Gammaproteobacteria; Enterobacterales; Enterobacteriaceae.
GGGUGAUUAGCUCAGCUGGGAGAGCACCUCCCUUACAAGGAGGGGGGCGGCAGUUCGAUCCCGUCAUCACCCACCA